AACGUAGGAGACAAACGUUAUCCGGAGUUACUGGGCGUAAAGGGCGUGCAGGUGGUCUGUUAAGUCUGGCGUGAAAGCUCCCGGCUAAACCGGGAGAGGUCGUUGGAUACUGGCGGACUAGAGGACGGUAGAGGCGUGUGGAAUUCCGGGUGUAGUGGUGAAAUGCGUAGAGAUCCGGAGGAACACCAGUGGCGAAGGCGACACGCUGGGCCGUACCUGACACUAAGACGCGACAGCAUGGGGAGCGAACGGG
This 253-nucleotide ribosomal RNA is filed under the name uncultured bacterium. RNAcentral describes it as "partial 16S ribosomal RNA". It matches the Rfam family "Bacterial small subunit ribosomal RNA", at positions 524 to 776 of the family's 1533-position model. The record is from RNAcentral.